RNAcentral lists this ribosomal RNA (1203 nucleotides) under Craugastor obesus. RNAcentral's name for it is "partial 16S ribosomal RNA". It matches the Rfam family "Bacterial large subunit ribosomal RNA", at positions 677 to 2601 of the family's 2925-position model. Lineage: Eukaryota; Metazoa; Chordata; Amphibia; Anura; Craugastoridae. The record is from RNAcentral.
ACUAGUCCACCCAAGCAAAAAGACUUUAAGUUUGCCCCCCCGAAACUAAGUGAGCUACUCUGAGACAGCCCCAGAGCCAACCCGUCCCUGUUACAAAAGGGUGGGAAGAUCUCAAAGUAGCGGUGACAUGCCUAACGAACUUAGUGAUAGCUGGUUGCUCACGAAAAGAAUCUGAGUUCUACCUAAAGCACAAACAAUAAUCAAAAAUAGAAUUUUACUUUAGAGCAACUCAAACAGGGUACAGCCUGUUUGACCCAGGAUACAACCUCCACUGAUGGGUAACCAAUUGUCCCCCCAGCCAAGUGGGCCUAAGAGCAGCCACCUUUAAAAAUGCGUCAAAGCUUAACUAACUCAAAAACAAUCCCCAAAAUUUUAUCAAACCCUCUAUUAGUACUGAGCACUUCUAUAACCUAUAGAAGAUCUUAUGUUAAAACUAGUAACAAGGAGACGCAACUCUCCUCUUCUAUACGAGCAUAAACCAGCUUGGAUAACCCACUGGAAAUUAACACCCACUAAUGGCAACCCCACAAGAAAACCCCAUUGGCCACACUGUUAACCUAACACUAGAGUAUAACAAGAAAGAUUAAAAGAAAGGGAAGGAACUCGGCAAAUAAAAAUCCCGCCUGUUUACCAAAAACAUCGCCUCUUGCCCAACUAUAAGAGGUCCAGCCUGCCCAGUGACCCACGUUCAACGGCCGCGGUAUCCUAACCACGCGAAGGUAGCGUAAUCAAUUGUCUCUUAAAUGGGGACUUGUAUGAAUGGCAUCACGAGGAUUUAACUGUCUCCCCUCUCUAAUCUGUGAAACUAAUCUCCCUGUGAAAAAGCAGGGCUAUUCCUAUAAGACGAGAAGACCCUGUGGAACUUUAAACAAGUAAUAAUUGCUCCCACCACUCUCCCCAGGACUCCCCACCCCAGAGCAUACUAACUACAAGUUUUCAGUUGGGGUGACUAUGGAGAAAAACCCAUCCUCCAUGAUGUAAACCUAAAUUAAAACCACAAGCUACAGCUUUACGUAUCAGCAAACUGGCAUUCAUUGACCCAUUUAUAUGAUCAACGAACCAAGCUACCCCAGGGAUAACAGCGCAAUCCACUUUAAGAGCACAUAUCGACAAGUGGGCUUACGACCUCGAUGUUGGAUCAGGGUACCCCGGUGGUGCAGCCGCUACUAAAGGUUCGUUUGUUCAACGAUUAAAACCCUACGU